AAUUACUCAAUUUUUCUUUGAUAUUCUCUUUUUUUUUUCCAACUGAGUGAUAUUCCUUGGUGAGUGCUUAUUUCGAACCAUCGACUAUAUUUCGUUUUCUCAAAUUUUUUAUGGUCGUUUUUCUUCUUAUUAUUUAUUUUUUUAUUUUUUUCGUACUCGCCUUGGUUUUUGAUACUUAUGGGGUUUACCCCAAACUUAGAAUUUAACACAGCUUAAUGACAUCACAUUGACUCUGAACAGGGUAAGGAAGUGUUUU
RNAcentral lists this long non-coding RNA (256 nucleotides) under Lathyrus oleraceus (garden pea). RNAcentral describes it as "Pisum sativum (pea) long non-coding RNA (PSAT_LNC033479)". Lineage: Eukaryota; Viridiplantae; Streptophyta; Magnoliopsida; Fabales; Fabaceae. The record is from RNAcentral.